Molecule: ribosomal RNA, 254 nt
Filed under: uncultured bacterium
Lineage: Bacteria
Description: partial 16S ribosomal RNA
Rfam family: Bacterial small subunit ribosomal RNA
Source: RNAcentral
UACGUAGGGUGCGAGCGUUAAUCGGAAUUACUGGGCGUAAAGCGUGCGCAGGCGGUUCGACAAGUCUGAUGUGAAAGCCCCGGGCUCAACCUGGGAAUGGCAUUGGAAACUGGCGAGCUAGAGUGUGGCAGAGGGGGGUGGAAUUCCGCGUGUAGCGGUGAAAUGCGUAGAUAUCUGGAGGAAUACCGGUGGCGAAGGCGGCAUCCUGGACCGGCAUUGACGCUGAGUGAGCGAAAGCGUGGGGAGCGAACAGG